Long non-coding RNA from Zea mays, 655 nucleotides. RefSeq lists it as uncharacterized. The record is from RefSeq and is a predicted model, not a curated record. The transcript is spliced from 2 exons. Lineage: Eukaryota; Viridiplantae; Streptophyta; Magnoliopsida; Poales; Poaceae.
GGAUCUGGGGCUAGCCCUUCAUCAGAAAGCUCGUCAUCAGGGUCCAUUAUGUAUUCUUCAAUACGUGUAUCUUUUCCAACCCCCAAACCUUCAACUAGAAGAGCCAUUUCCCCCCUAAACCCAGGUAACCAACAAGUUUCUACAGGACUUCUUUAGGGCACCCACGCCGCCGAUUCUGCCUGGCGCUACUGCCCCUGAAGCGCACAUGGCAAGGAAGACAAGAGUCCCUGAAGAAGGUGCAAGCAUGGAAAUUCCAACACGAUGUCGUCGAUCCCAUCGUUCUUCUAACACAACCACGGGGACCCUACCACAAGAGGUUCUUGCAGCCCUGACGUCUGCCUUCAACCUCGAUGGGUCGGCGAAGGAGAACUUCGAGGAUGCUUUGCUUGCGAUGGUAGAGGAAGGAAUUGUGGAUCUACAAGAUGGCCUUGGUAGCCUGCGCAUUGAUGAACUGCAUGCGACUGCGUGAUCCAGCGACCUGCGACUAAGGGCCUUUUCCUCUAAUUCAUGUUUUCAUCAGACCUCGAUCCUUUGCCUCAUUUGUGUGUCGAGGUUUCAGUUUGUUGCAUGUGCUCGAUGUAUGUUUUGGACAUCUUAAGUGUGGCUCUUUUGUCUGUCUCGCGCCAGCAAUGCCAAAACGUGCUUGUUUCAAUGA